Molecule: long non-coding RNA, 1087 nt
Organism: Oncorhynchus tshawytscha (Chinook salmon)
Lineage: Eukaryota; Metazoa; Chordata; Actinopteri; Salmoniformes; Salmonidae
Exons: 2
Source: RefSeq, a predicted model, not a curated record
GUGAUGUCUUCACUAUUAUAGAAAAUAGUACAAAUAAAGAAAAACCCCUUGAAUGAGUAGGUGUCCAAACUAUUCUUUGGUGUAUAUCUUAAAUGACAGCGUUGUCAUGGAUUUGAUGAUCUAAUUGUCAAGCCCAUUGAAAAGAUUUAUGGGAUAGGACCCAGAAGAUAUAGGACUGCGUCAGAAAUACCACGUCAGUCUGUGGAGACUGAUUGCUGUGGCUCGUUGGUAGACAGACACCUUUACUGAAAAAACAACCUUUUCUUUCUUCCCACUUCAUUAAACAGUAAAGGUGAACAAGAAUCGAAUACAAUUCUAACAUUGGAGGAGGAAAAAAAAAUAUUGUUUUCACACUCCUUUCAAGUCCAAGGUCAAACCUUUCAAGUCCAAGGUCAAACAGGUUCUCUCAACCUUUUUCCUCUGUUGUUGACAUUGUUUAUCAAAGUGCAGCUGCUACUCUUAUUAAAUCCUUGAUUGCCAUCUACCAUAGUGCCCUUCAUUUUGUUACAGGCGACAGUUUGAUCCUCAUCACUGUAUCCUGUAUCAAAGGGUUGGCUGGACUUCACUAUAGACACGUAGAUCUCUACAUUUACUCCCUCUUUUUUGUUUAGAAGGUCCUACUUUAUUGCUGUUGAAGUAUAGACACAUGGGUUGUUUAAACCCUUUCACAGGAUUGGUUAACUCUUGAGGUUCCUCAGGUCUCCACCCAGCUAAGUAAAAUCAGAGUUUAGUUUUAAUGCACCUGAAUUAUAGCUAAACAGACUGGAACCCAGGCUAACAGUUGGCUGUUUGAAUUGGAAGGAUCGGGUGUUUAGUUUUAAUGCACCUGAAUUAUAGCUAAACAGACUGGAACCCAGGCUAACAGUUGGCUGUUUGAAUUGGAAGGAUCGGGUGUUUAGUUUUAAUGCACCUGAAUUAUAGCUAAACAGACUGGAACCCAGGCUAACAGUUGGCUGUUUGAAUUGGAAGGAUCGGGUGUUUAGUUUUAAUGUAACCUGAAUUAUAGCUAAACAGACUGGAACCCAGGCUAACAGUUGGCUGUUUGAAUUGGAAGGAUCGGGUGUUUAGUUUUAAUGCACCUGAAUUA